RNAcentral lists this transfer RNA (74 nucleotides) under Clostridia bacterium. RNAcentral describes it as "tRNA-Val". It matches the Rfam family "tRNA". Rfam says of the family: Transfer RNA (tRNA) molecules are approximately 80 nucleotides in length. Their secondary structure includes four short double-helical elements and three loops (D, anti-codon, and T loops). The record is from RNAcentral. Lineage: Bacteria; Bacillati; Bacillota; Clostridia.
GGAAGUAUAGCUCAGCUGGUUAGAGCAUUCGCUUGACGUGCGAAAGGUCCAGAGUUCGAAUCUCUUUACUUCCA